Molecule: long non-coding RNA, 781 nt
Organism: Zalophus californianus (California sea lion)
Lineage: Eukaryota; Metazoa; Chordata; Mammalia; Carnivora; Otariidae
Exons: 5
Source: RefSeq, a predicted model, not a curated record
ACCCUCCGUUUGUUUCUCAGAGUCCAGAAUUUCCUCUAUUUAACAAGGAAAUGAAUUAACAGAGAACACAUAGGCUCCAGAAAAGAGGGAGUCAAAGAAGUGGAAUGAUUCUACAAUGAUUGUAAAAAUCAUACCCAGGAUUGCAGCUAUGUAGUAGGCCUAGAGAGAAGCCAGAUCAGAUUGGAACUGUAUUAUAUGGAGAGCCAAGAGUGUUUUCCCAGGGAAAAUUGUGUUUUAUAAGUUAACUGAUAUAUUUGGUUAUGCUUAGAGAUAUGUUAAAGUUCUAUUUGGAGUGUUUGGGGAAAGAAUUAGUAAUAGAUACAAAGUAAAGUGAUAAAAAAAAAGGCUCCAGAUACAGGUUGCGUAUCUGACGAGAGUUCAGAACACUGCUGCUUAUCAAGUCUAAGGAGCAAUGGCAACAUGAAAAUUCAUCUUCAAAAUAUUCUGAGUUCCAUGGUCAACCAUGGUCAGCAUAUAGUCAGAAAAACCUAACUGCUACAUCAGGAUGCCGACAUCAUUCACCUCACUUCGUCUCAUCUUGUUGGCAUUUUAUCAUUUCAUCAUCAUCAGAAGGUGGCUGAAUUUAUUCACUCCUGAAUUUGAAAAACUGAACUUCUGAACAAAACAGGGAAGAUUUGAAUCACUGUCAACAAUUUCCUUGGACCCAUGAUGUUACCAGUUCUGAGAUAUUCCAUGGUUUUGUGUACUGCCAAGAAAGAAUUUUUUUAAAAGUCAAUUAAACACUGACACAUUGUUUUAUUGCUAUAUAAUAAAGUAUCAC